ACGAACGCUGGCGGCGUGCUUAACACAUGCAAGUCGAACGAUGCUGACGGGAGCUUGCUCCCUGAGAUUAGUGGCGGACGGGUGAGUAACACGUGGGUAACCUGCCCGUAAGUUUGGGAUAACUCCGGGAAACCGGGGCUAAUACCGGAUAUGAUCUUCCUUCGCAUGGGGGAGGUUUGAAAGAUGGGCUAUCACUUACAGAUGGACCCGCGGCCCAUUAGCUUGUUGGUGAGGUAACGGCUCACCAAGGCGACGAUGCGUAGCCGACUUGAGAGGGCGAUCGGCCACACUGGGACUGAGACACGGCCCAGACUCCUACGGGAGGCAGCAGUAGGGAAUAUUCCGCAAUGGACGAAAGUCUGACGGAGCAACGCCGCGUGAGGGAUGAAGGUUUUCGGAUCGUAAAACUCUGUUGUUAGGGAAGAACAAGUAUCGUUCGAAUAGGGSGGKACCUUGACGGUACCUAAC
Molecule: ribosomal RNA, 468 nt
Filed under: Heyndrickxia oleronia
Lineage: Bacteria; Bacillati; Bacillota; Bacilli; Caryophanales; Bacillaceae
Description: bacterial SSU rRNA
Rfam family: Bacterial small subunit ribosomal RNA
Source: RNAcentral